Molecule: ribosomal RNA, 992 nt
Filed under: uncultured Corynebacterium sp.
Lineage: Bacteria; Bacillati; Actinomycetota; Actinomycetes; Mycobacteriales; Corynebacteriaceae
Description: bacterial SSU rRNA
Rfam family: Bacterial small subunit ribosomal RNA
Source: RNAcentral
GUGCCAGCAGCCGCGGUAAUACGUAGGGUGCGAGCGUUGUCCGGAAUUACUGGGCGUAAAGAGCUCGUAGGUGGUUUGUCGCGUCGUCUGUGAAAUUCCGGGGCUUAACUCCGGGCGUGCAGGCGAUACGGGCUGACUUGAGUGCUGUAGGGGAGACUGGAAUUCCUGGUGUAGCGGUGAAAUGCGCAGAUAUCAGGAGGAACACCGAUGGCGAAGGCAGGUCUCUGGGCAGUAACUGACGCUGAGGAGCGAAAGCAUGGGUAGCGAACAGGAUUAGAUACCCUGGUAGUCCAUGCCGUAAACGGUGGGCGCUAGGUGUGAGUCCCUUCCACGGGGUUCGUGCCGUAGCUAACGCAUUAAGCGCCCCGCCUGGGGAGUACGGCCGCAAGGCUAAAACUCAAAGGAAUUGACGGGGGCCCGCACAAGCGGCGGAGCAUGUGGAUUAAUUCGAUGCAACGCGAAGAACCUUACCUGGGCUUGACAUACACCGGAUUGGGCUAGAGAUAGUCUUUCCCUUUGUGGCUGGUGUACAGGUGGUGCAUGGUUGUCGUCAGCUCGUGUCGUGAGAUGUUGGGUUAAGUCCCGCAACGAGCGCAACCCUUGUCUUAUGUUGCCAGCAUUUGGUUGGGGACUCAUGAGAGACUGCCGGGGUCAACUCGGAGGAAGGUGGGGAUGACGUCAAAUCAUCAUGCCCCUUAUGUCCAGGGCUUCACACAUGCUACAAUGGUCGGUACAACGCGCAGCGACACUGUGAGGUGGAGCGAAUCGCUGAAAGCCGGCCUUAGUUCGGAUUGGGGUCUGCAACUCGACCCCAUGAAGUCGGAGUCGCUAGUAAUCGCAGAUCAGCAAUGCUGCGGUGAAUACGUUCCCGGGCCUUGUACACACCGCCCGUCACGUCAUGAAAGUUGGUAACACCCGAAGCCGGUGGCCCAAACUUGUUAGGGAGCCGUCGAAGGUGGGAUCGGCGAUUGGGACGAAGUCGUAACAAGGUA